Molecule: long non-coding RNA, 2782 nt
Filed under: Zea mays
Lineage: Eukaryota; Viridiplantae; Streptophyta; Magnoliopsida; Poales; Poaceae
Description: long non-coding RNA (ZMAY_LNC001569)
Source: RNAcentral
CAUCAUAAGGAUACAACGAUCCAGCAACCCAAAGUUGACUGGGAGACGACAGCCUAGACCUCUCACGAGCUCGUCACAACAUCUUCCAUGCGCCUCAUCCUGCGGUACCUGUUCUUGACCUGUGGGGGAUGUAAGACAGCAAGAGUGAGCUCACAUACGUUCAUCGCUCAAUAAGUUGUGGAGAAAAAUGUGCAUGAACUCGCCAAAGGUGGGAGCUCAUGUGAAGUGUAAGGCUUACCAAAGAGGAUGGUUGAAGCUGAGCAUUGCUUUUAAAGUUGGUCAAAAUUUUAUUAGAAAUUACUAAGUAUAAGUAAAUACCAACCCAAUUAAGUAAUAGAACAAAAGUGAUAACAAAACCCUCAAUGCAAUGCAUAUGACAAUUUGAAUUUAGUUUCAUAAAUUAAUCAUGUGAGGGUUCGAGCUACUCAUGACCGUGAGCACGACUAGUAUACCAGUUUUACACUCUACAGAGGUUGCGCAUCUUUACCCACAAGUCGGGUUACCCAUUUGCCACGGGGUUGAUCGGACCCCAUACACCUCUUCCAAGGAAGCGAGGCAGGGUACCACUACGAGGCCUUUACAAAGUUCCACUAGCUUCAGAAACCCGCUACUGUUUCUAGGAAGCUCCAAUGCAGGGACCCCUCGCCUGACCGUCGUCGCAACAAAAUCAAACCAAGGGCCUCCCUACACUGACCACUCCCCUACUGCCCUUGUCCCUUUCGGGUAAGGUAGUCCUCCACUAGCUUUCCUAAUUAGUCAGCCAAGGGCGUCCCAUACCAUCCUUGUGGUAGCACUGUUUUCCCGAGUGGUCGCUCCAUGUUCCAAUUAACAUAAUGAUCUUAUCAUGAACAGUGAAUAACAAUUGAUAAUAAAAGUAUGAUAAUGAAUAAUGUGUACCUCCAUACCCAAAACCACAUAAAGCAAUAGCAUGUACUACCCAACAAUUCAGUGGUAAACAAGGUAUAAAGAUAGUCAAACUAGGGUAACCUAUUGGGUCCCAUCAAAAUUAACCUAUGCAGAUCAUUAUGAUUAAUAAGAACAUGAUUGGGGAAAAGAAGUGAUCAAGGGCACAACUUGUCUGGGACUUGAGAUUCCAGGUACCAACAUGCUGUCCAGAUGAUUCGUAACCUCGCGCUAGUCGUAAAAAUACAAACAAACAGUGUAUAUGCAAAAUUAACAUUGCACCAAACAUAAUAACAAACUGCAUAAUAAUAGCAUACGCGUUGCUACGAGAUCGUGGGCGCGAGAAUUACAAAAAUCAGAUUUACGGUUCAAAAGUUAUGGUUUUUAUGUGAUCAAUUAUGGGGACUAUGUCUAUGUUAAUUAAUAAAUCAUGUGAGAAAUAUAUCCUUAAGAAAAUAUUAAUUUAGUUUUAACCUAAGUUAUAACUUGUUAGAAUCAUAUUUCUUUAGUUAGACUAUAGUCAUAGGUUGAUUUACCAUGUCACAUUAACGUGGUUUACAAAAGUAAAUUUAAUAAACAUAUAUUCAAUUACUUAUGCAAGCACUAACAUAAUUGUUGUUAUCAUGUAGACAAUAUUAAUGUGAGGCUAACGCAAUUUGAAUGGUGUAAAUCAGAGUUACGGUUAAAAAGUUACGAAUUUCUAAAGAUUUAGUAGUGGUGUACAAAAGAAAUUAAGUACAUUAUUUCAGUUUAGGUUUCAUAACAGAAUAAAGUUACUGGAUAAUAAACAAUAUUAAUACAAGUCUAAUGCAACUGGAAUGAAUUAAUUUGGAGUUAAAAUGGAUUUAAUACGAAUUAAACAAGUUUUUUAGAUUUUUUUUAUAAUAAGAACCCAUUUUCUUUAUUAACUUUACCUAUUUUAUUAAUUAAUGGGCUGCGGCCACAAUUUUCCAGAAGUCCGGGGUCCAUUCUGGAAAAACUCGAGGGCAUGGUCUAAACCCCCAACACCCAGUCUGGGUCGUGGGUUUAAUCUUAAUAAAGUCAGGGACUCUUCUGCAUAUUUUCCGAGCCGAAGGGGUAUGGAUAGACUUCGGUCGUCCAAUCAAGGCCGAAUGGCACCGAUUAGAUCUAAUAAUAAGUGAAGCGGUAUGAAACCGUGGCCAUACGAUCAAGACCCUACGGUUAUGAUUUAAAAUAACUGAGCCCGAUCUCAACCGUACGAUCUGAAAUCAAGGAUCCAGAUCAGAUCCACAAUUUUACGUAGCGGUAUGAAUCCCUAUCCAUUGGAUUUCGAAUCGUUGGCCUGAGAAAUGCCCACGCCACCCCAUUAUCGUCACCGUUCAAACAGGAUCCAAUGGAUCCCCGUUAUCUUCUCCCCUCACCACUGGAGUGCGGAGGCGCCCCAAAUUCCUCACCGGCGAGCACACCGGUAGCCGCACCAGGGCUUCCCAAGCUGAAUCGAGCACGUCUACACAAAAUAUAUGACAACGCAAAUGACAUGAAGGUUUUAUUACCGAUGGCCUUGUAGGGGAAAGCUCCAGCCACGAUGAGGGGCGGAUCCGCGGCGGAGUGUGAGCACCGGCGAGCAAUCUGAGGGAUGAUGACCCCCGAUCGUGCCUGGAAAUCCCACACGCUAACACCAGGGAACGUGGUGAAGCUCUUGCACUACCUAUUGGACCCAAAACGAGGACGCACGUCACGAACAAUGACGGCGGCAUCCCUCGGCUCGAUUUCACCCGCUUCCCUCCCACUCUUGCUUUGAUGAUUUCUGAUUCUUCCUCAGCUUGAUGGCGCACGACUUCUAUGCAUUGAGAAGCGAGAUGAAACGACCGACCCGGUCGCGAGAACGACGGAGGUAGCUCAACGACCCGGCGUCCAC